CACCAUAACCCGGACGGGUGGAAGCGGCUCCACAGCAGGACGGGGGACUGGCUAAAGCCGGAACGAGGGCCGUAGCCCACUAGGGCGGGCGGCACGGGUUCUCUUGAUUCACAGGAGAUCACCAACUCUCUGUACUUCAACAUACUGAACAGUAUACUUACCUAUCUCUACCUUUUCUCUAUUAAUCUGUCCUUAUCUUUUGUAAGUACCUCAGACAAUGCUAGCAAACACGAGGAGAGGAAAACUUUAACACUGUCUGACCCUGCCGGAUUACGUGCAUGACGGAUUGACAGAUCA
Pelobates cultripes (western spadefoot toad) is the source of this 297-nucleotide non-coding RNA. The record is from the annotation of a GenBank genome assembly. Lineage: Eukaryota; Metazoa; Chordata; Amphibia; Anura; Pelobatidae.